CCUACGGGUGGCAGCAGUGAGGAAUAUUGGUCAAUGGUCGGGAGACUGAACCAGCCAAGCCGCGUGAGGGAUGAAGGUACAGAGUAUCGUAAACCUCUUUUGUCAGGGAACAAAGGCGGGGACGUGUCCCCGGAUGAGUGUACCUGAAGAAAAAGCAUCGGCUAACUCCGUGCCAGCAGCCGCGGUAAUACGGAGGAUGCUAGCGUUAUCCGGAUUUAUGGGGUUUAAAGGGUGCGAGGGCGGUCUGUUAAGUCAGCGGGAAAAGCCCGGGGCUCAACCCCGGCCCGCCGUUGAAACUGGCAGUCUCGAGUUGGAGAGAGGUAUGCGGAAUGCGUGGUGUAGCGGUGAAAUGCAUAGAUAUCGCGCAGAACUCCGAUUGCGAAGGCAGCAUGCCGGCUCCACACUGACGCUGAGGCACGAAAGCGUGGGUAUCGAACAGGAUUAGAUACCCUAGUAGUC
RNAcentral lists this ribosomal RNA (459 nucleotides) under uncultured bacterium. Its description in RNAcentral is "partial 16S ribosomal RNA". It matches the Rfam family "Bacterial small subunit ribosomal RNA", at positions 338 to 795 of the family's 1533-position model. The record is from RNAcentral.